UUUAGUCAGACAGGUAGGAUUCGUAUCGAGGUAUUGUUGUUGAUUUUUCAUUAACUGGUGUGAUGUUGGCAUCAAUGUUUUGGUUGUGCAACAUUACCUGACCGUAAGAGAAGAAAAUAUUGACUUUUAAUGAAUAGUUUGGUCCCUUAUUGUAGAAUAUGUGAAUAGGAUUUUUGGCUUUAUUUGGAAUGACAAGAUGAUAGCGCAAACUGCCACAAAAAGAUUUGAGAAAGAUCUCAAAGAUGUGAUUCAAACUCAAUUUAGUCCUCGGGUCUUUUAGCAGCUUUAUAUAUCAAGCUGGAAAUCAUGGUAUAUGUAAGAAAAUAAUCAGGUAGACAACAAGUUUCAAGCUUUUAUAAUGUUUUAUAAGGCGUGAUGCAUUAAAACUAGGUGUCUGAAUUUCCCUAUAAAAAUUAAAUUGGCUCAAUUCACUAACGUGGUUCUUUUACAUGCCUGAGUAGCGGAUAAAAGAGUUGCAUGCUGGAGAACGUAAAGAGAAGACGCUUCGCUUGAGUGUUGAAGCUGGUGUUGUUCUGGAUUUCAAUGUGAAUUCCUUCUAGAUGAUAAGACCAAUUCAGAGAUUUCGUGAUGAAAGAAUAUGGAAAAAGUCAUGAAAGGAACGCUAUUAUUGUAUAUAGAAGUGUCCUAGGUUUAUCAUGCGACGUUACAGAUCAUCAGCUUGAAGAUGCCUUUAGCCGAUUUGGUAAAAUUAUCCAUUGCCAGUAUGACCAGGACUAUUAUCCCGGAAGGAGAAAAAGGAAAUGAAUUACCAAGAUGAAAUGGUAAAUAGAUUGUGCAUUUGCAGUUGCUGUUGAAAUUCACGCCGUCGUGGUUCCAAUAAUUGUUUCUCAAUUGUAUAAUCUUCACUUUACAAGGUAAAAGUAUAAAGCAUUUCAUUAAACUAAAAGUUAAUGAAGGAAAGCAGAUAAUGGUGAAACUACAAUCCCAACUUCUGUUCAAUUAGUUGUGUUUGAGCAAUUUGCUUAAUAUUUACUCAUUUUAUUGCUUAUAUAGCUGAAUACUUUCCAACAAAACUUUGUUCACAGCAGCCCUAAUAUGUUGAUUUGUGGCCAUAAAAGAAGGAAAUAUUUACUUGAGUUGAAUUAUUGCUUUCAUUGAUCCCCUUUUUAUAAACUUGAUCUCAGGUGAAGAUAUAUAUUGCACCACUUUUAGGUUUUAACCAUGAGCACAUGCAGGAUUGCAGAGAAUCUCAGGCAAAAUUUUGGUCUUUGUGAACUGUUUCUACCAAUUUGUAAAUUUGAGUGAGAUUUUCGUUAAUUGGAUUAGAGUCAUGCAGUGUUCUUAUGCCCUUAUCUACAUAUGUUUUACAAUAAUGUAUAAAGUCUUCAUACAAAUUUGAUGACUUCGUUAGUAUAUACAGAUAGCUGCUCCAGAAUAAAUAUUGUAACGUCUAAAAUAUUGGGCCAUUGAUUAUAUGGAGACAUAUUCUCCUG
Long non-coding RNA from Lycium barbarum (goji berry), 1454 nucleotides. RefSeq lists it as uncharacterized. NCBI's taxonomy places the organism in Eukaryota, Viridiplantae, Streptophyta, Magnoliopsida, Solanales, Solanaceae. The record is from RefSeq and is a predicted model, not a curated record. The transcript is spliced from 2 exons.